Molecule: ribosomal RNA, 505 nt
Filed under: uncultured bacterium
Lineage: Bacteria
Description: bacterial SSU rRNA
Rfam family: Bacterial small subunit ribosomal RNA
Source: RNAcentral
UGAGUAAUGUCUGGGAAACUGCCUGAUGGAGGGGGAUAACUACUGGAAACGGUAGCUAAUACCGCAUAACGUCGCAAGACCAAAGAGGGGGACCUUCGGGCCUCUUGCCAUCAGAUGUGCCCAGAUGGGAUUAGCUAGGAGGUGGGGUAAAGGGCUCACCUAGGCGACGAUCCCUAGCUGGUCUGAGAGGAUGACCAGCCACACUGGAACUGAGACACGGUCCAGACUCCUACGGGAGGCAGCAGUGGGGAAUAUUGCACAAUGGGCGCAAGCCUGAUGCAGCCAUGCCGCGUGUGUGAAGAAGGCCUUCGGGUUGUAAAGCACUUUCAGCGAGGAGGAAGGUGGUGAACUUAAUACGUUCAUCAAUUGACGUUACUCGCAGAAGAAGCACCGGCUAACUCCGUGCCAGCAGCCGCGGUAAUACGGAGGGUGCAAGCGUUAAUCGGAAUUACUGGGCGUAAAGCGCACGCAGGCGGUUUGUUAAGUCAGAUGUGAAAUCCCCGGG